CUACGGCCGGACGGAGCUCGUUAUCGGCGCAGCGGCUCCGCACAGGCAGCAGGGGAACGCUUCGGGCUACUGGACAACUUUCAGAGUCUGCUAUGACAUCUCGCAGGUGGUUCCACCCCAACAUCACUGGAAUCGAGGCAGAGCAGCUCCUGUUGACACGGGGAGUUCACGGCAGUUUCUUGGCCCGACCGAGCAAGAGCAAUCCUGGGGAUUUUACCCUCUCCGUCAGGCGUAACAGUGAGGUGACCCACAUUAAGAUCCAGAACUCUGGAGACUACUAUGACCUGUACGGAGGUGAGAAGUUCGCCACGCUAGCCGAGCUGGUGCAGUAUUACACCGAACAACAGGAUCUCCUCCGUGAGAGGAACGGCCAUGUCAUCGAGCUCAAGUAUCCGCUCAACUGCAAAGACCCGACCUCUGAGAGGUGGUACCACGGGCAUCUCUCAGGUAAAGACGCAGAAAAACUGCUGACAGAAAAAGGCAAAGCUGGCAGCUUUCUGGUACGAGAGAGCCAGAGCCAGCCGGGAGACUUCGUCCUCUCGGUUCUCACAAACGAAGAGAAACAUGAAAACGUGGACCGCAAGACCAAGGUCACCCACGUUAUGAUUCGCUGCCAGAGGGACGGCAAAUAUGACGUGGGCGGUGGGGAGCGGUUCGACACCCUGGCUGACCUGGUGGACCACUACAAGAAGAACCCCAUGGUGGAGAAAAGUGGCAUCGUAGUCCACCUCAAACAGCCUUUUAACGCCACGAGGAUAAACGCUGCCAACAUAGAGAACCGGGUACGAGAACUCAACAAAGUCGCAGACAACUCUGAGAAACCCAAACAAGGAUUCUGGGAAGAAUUUGAGGUACUUCAGCAGCAGGAGUGCAAACUGUUGUAUCCCAGGAAAGAAGGCCAGAAGCCAGAAAACAAGAGUAAAAACAGAUACAAGAAUAUCCUCCCCUUUGACACGACGCGAGUCGUUAUCAAAGAAACGGAUCCAGAAGUCCCUGGUUCGGAUUACAUCAACGCCAAUUAUAUCAGAAUUACGCAUGAAGACGGACGCCACGUAGAGGAGAGCAAAGUCUUCAUCGCCACCCAGGGGUGCCUCCAGAACACGGUGACGGACUUCUGGAAGAUGGUGUAUCAGGAGAACGCACACGUCAUCGUCAUGACCACAAAGGAGAUGGAGCGAGGCAGGAACAAGUGUGUUCGUUACUGGCCAGACCUCCACUCCACUAAAGAGUUUGAAAAGCUGCUGGUGAGGAAUGUGGAGGAGCGGCCGGCUCACGACUACAUCCUCAGGAAGCUGGAGGUCACGCGUCUGGACCGGAAAGAGCCUGUGAGGUACAUUUGGCACUAUCAGUACCUGAGCUGGCCGGACCACGGGGUGCCUAAUGAGCCUGGUGGGGUGCUCUGGUUCCUGCAGGAGGUCAACCGCACACAGAGCACCAUUAAAGACACCGGACCCAUUGUUGUCCACUGCAGUGCAGGCAUCGGCAGAACCGGCACCAUCAUCGUCAUCGACAUCCUCAUCGACGUCAUCAACAGACAAGGUCUCGACUGUGACAUCGACAUCCCCAAGACCAUCCAGAUGGUCCGGCAGCAGAGGUCGGGCAUGGUCCAAACAGAGGCCCAGUACAAGUUCAUCUACAUGGCGGUGCAGCAGUACAUAGACACAGCCCAGAAGAGACUGGAGGAGGAGCAGAGGAAUAAGUUAAAGGAGAGRGAAUAUUCCAACAUCAAAUAUCCUCAAAUGACCAACUCCAGGUCCAAACACAGCAUGGCGUCCUCGCGCUCCUCCUCUGUAAUGACAAACGACGAUUCUUCAAGUGUUUACGAGAACAUAAACUUCAAAACCCCUCAGACGUCUUUUAGCAGCAACACCAGGAGGUAAAACUGUCACUGCGGACGUCUCUCUUCUCUGCCUCGCUAUUUGUAAAUAAGGCUUGCAGCCUUAUCAAGCACCCACAGCAGCCGACACAYGACGUUCUGUGAUCUUCUUUGCCUGGAGUGGCUGAUGAAAGAUUGUAGAAUAACCAAAAUCCAGUCUCCUCUGCGGCUCUAAACAGAAGACACUCAUCUUUUGCACGAGUCGUUUMGUUCAAAGAUGUGAAAUUCAUGCAAAGGAUUCAUUUCCAUGCAGUCGGUKAUAAGAACAAGACUUUAUUUAGAGUCUGGCAGCUGCUUAAAGGGACUCCAGGCUGGUAUUUACUCCCCCAUCACAUCCCACCACCAACAGCGGACACCCCAGGAUGUCGGUACCGGUCUCAGUUUAAACCUCUGACGUUCCUUCAAGUUUAUUCUUUUGAUCAUGUUAGCUGACCUGAAAUAAAAUAAGCAAGUCUCUUUUAUAAAUCGUAUUAAAGCAGCAGAGGAGAGGAAAUCAUUAACUAACGUUCUCAGAACCUGUUGGUCGUUAAAGUAGCCCAAACAUCUAAGUUUACUGUUUCUUUAUACAAACUCGAAAUUUCUAUGAAAACGACUGCGUCACGGCUGAAUAAAAAGAAGUUCCCGGGAUCUGUGUGGGAGGAGAAUGAAAAGUUACAGCUUAAGUUCUGAUCAAGGUUGAAGGGUUUUUGUAUCCAUCCAGUCCGGUCCUGGGUCUGAGGGAGCUCAGAGUUCUGUGUGUUUCUAAAAACGUGUCUCUCUGAGCUCCUCAAAGCUACAGCUAAACACGAACACGAGCACAAAGCUGCAUCGCAAACUUUAAAACAUUUAGUCGAUAAACACUUAUCGUUAAGUUGUCAUCAUUUAUGUUUAUACAAAAUGUAUUUAUUAAAAUUUAUUAAAACUCCACUUUCUAACAUCCUAUCCAARUACCUAAGAAAUACUUUUGUUUUUGCUUUUAGAAGAUAGUUUAAUGUAGAAUGCAUUUAUGUUGCUUUUUAUUGCAGAUAAUAUAAUGCAUAUCACCAGCUGCUGUUCAUGCCAGAGUUUUAGACUAAAAUCRUCUCAUUUUAAGCAAAUGUUGUCAUUUUGGUCAAACCUUGAUAAUAACCUUAUUAUYAGACAAAAGUGUGGAUGAAUCUCAGCUACUACUACUUAAAACUAUCUGUAUAAUGAGCUGAGUGGUUUUGUUGAUUAGAAUAAAAAAACAUCAACAGUUUAUCAGAUUGUACGUAGAAUCGUUAUAUUCGGGAUAAAUCCCACCACCAAGACUUCACAACCAGUCCCACACGUGAAAAUACAAG
RNA transcript from Austrofundulus limnaeus, 3177 nucleotides. It is a transcript of the gene named protein tyrosine phosphatase non-receptor type 11b, with no coding region annotated. The transcript is spliced from 18 exons. The record is from RefSeq and is a predicted model, not a curated record. Lineage: Eukaryota; Metazoa; Chordata; Actinopteri; Cyprinodontiformes; Rivulidae.